CUCCAAUAUAGAUGUAUUGAAAUGUUCCUUCACUUAAAAGAGCUUAUUUAUCAUAGAAUUAAUUCCUUACAAUCUUAAAAGUAUCAGUCACGUUUAUUACCUAUAGCGUGGGAAUGACAGCGGGUAUUCAAGAACCAUCUUGAUUAGGGAGCUUCAAAGAGAUGUUAUCACCUUAAACAUUUGGCCAUUCUUAUUUGAAAGAAGAUCAAAGAUGGAAGACAGCUGUUACGACAAGAGCAACUUCAUUUACAUUAAGAGGACAGUAACAGGAUAAAAGGUUUAAGAUUUGAAUGUUCUGGGUUCAUUCUGACGCCAGUGAACCCAAGGUGCUUCGUGUCCCUUGCCACUGCUAUGCUGUAAUAAACUUCAUUUUUGAGAUCUUC
This is a long non-coding RNA of Rhinichthys klamathensis goyatoka, 383 nucleotides long. RefSeq lists it as uncharacterized. Lineage: Eukaryota; Metazoa; Chordata; Actinopteri; Cypriniformes; Leuciscidae. The transcript has 2 exons. The record is from RefSeq and is a predicted model, not a curated record.